RNAcentral lists this ribosomal RNA (169 nucleotides) under uncultured Clostridium sp. RNAcentral's name for it is "partial 16S ribosomal RNA". It matches the Rfam family "Bacterial small subunit ribosomal RNA", at positions 338 to 524 of the family's 1533-position model. The record is from RNAcentral. Lineage: Bacteria; Bacillati; Bacillota; Clostridia; Eubacteriales; Clostridiaceae.
CCUACGGGAGGCAGCAGUGGGGAAUAUUGCACAAUGGGCGAAAGCCUGAUGCAGCAACGCCGCGUGAGUGAUGAAGGCCUCCGGGUUGUAAAGCUCUGUCUUCUGGGACGAUAAUGACGGUACCAGAGGAGGAAGCCACGGCUAACUACGUGCCAGCAGCCGCGGUAAU